UAACCAACAAGGAUGAUGAAACCAUGA
Molecule: non-coding RNA, 27 nt
Filed under: Homo sapiens (human)
Lineage: Eukaryota; Metazoa; Chordata; Mammalia; Primates; Hominidae
Source: RNAcentral